This 74-nucleotide transfer RNA is filed under the name Ipomoea nil (Japanese morning glory). It matches the Rfam family "tRNA". Rfam says of the family: Transfer RNA (tRNA) molecules are approximately 80 nucleotides in length. The record is from Rfam by way of RNAcentral. Lineage: Eukaryota; Viridiplantae; Streptophyta; Magnoliopsida; Solanales; Convolvulaceae.
GGUUUUAUGGUAUAGUUGGUUAUCACGUCAGUCUAAAACACUAAAGGUCUCCAGUUCAACUCUGGGCGAAGCCA